Molecule: ribosomal RNA, 305 nt
Filed under: uncultured bacterium
Lineage: Bacteria
Description: bacterial SSU rRNA
Rfam family: Bacterial small subunit ribosomal RNA
Source: RNAcentral
GGCCUACGGGGGGCAGCAGUGGGGGAUAUUGGACAAUGGGGGAAACCCUGAUCCAGCGAUGCCGCGUGAGGGAAGAAGGUUUUCGGAUUGUAAACCUCUGUGGAGGGGGACGAUAAUGACGGUACCCCUUUAGGAAGCCACGGCUAACUACGUGUCAGCAGCCGCGGUAAUACGUAGGUGGCGAGCGUUGUCCGGAAUUACUGGGUGUAAAGGGAGUGUAGGCGGGAAAGCAAGUCAGAAGUGAAAGCCCGUGGCUUAACCGCGGAACGGCUUUGGAAACUGGGGAACUGGAGUGCUGGAGAGGG